Molecule: ribosomal RNA, 495 nt
Filed under: uncultured bacterium
Lineage: Bacteria
Description: partial 16S ribosomal RNA
Rfam family: Bacterial small subunit ribosomal RNA
Source: RNAcentral
GACGAACGCUGGCGGCGUGCCUAAUACAUGCAAGUAGAACGCUGAAGGAGGAGCUUGCUUCUCUGGAUGAGUUGCGAACGGGUGAGUAACGCGUAGGUAACCUGCCUGGUAGCGGGGGAUAACUCUUGGAAACGAUAGCUAAUACCGCAUAAGAGUAGAUGUUGCAUGACAUUUGCUUAAAAGGUGCAAUUGCAUCACUACCAGAUGGACCUGCGUUGUAUUAGCUAGUUGGUGGGGUAACGGCUCACCAAGGCGACGAUACAUAGCCGACCUGAGAGGGGGAUCGGCCACACUGGGACUGGGACACGGCCCAGACUCCUACGGGAGGCAGCAGGAGGGGAUCUUCGGCAAUGGGCGGAAGUCUGACCGAGCAACGCCGCGUGAGGGAAGGAGGUUUUCGGAUCGUAAAGCUCUGUUGUAAGAGAAGAACGAGUGGGAGAGUGGAAAGUUCACACUGUGACGGUAUCUUACCAGAAAGGGACGGCUAACUACGUG